UCAGCCAUAAAUAAAUAAAACAUAUGUAUAAAAUAAAUAAAUAGAAACUUAAAAAAACUCCUAAGUUCAUGGAUAGAGCAAACAGACCUGGUGGCUGCAUGUGGUACAGGGGCGGGGGGAAGCAGGGGCAAAACGGGUGAAGGUAAUCAAAAAGUACAAAUUUCCAGGUAUAAAAUGAAUGUCAUGGGGAUGUAAUGUAUAGCAUGGUGACUACAGUUAAUAAUACUGUGCUGCAUAUUUGAAAGUUGCUACGAAAGUAAAUCUUAAAAGUUCUCAUCACAAGAAAAAAAAAAUCUGUAUGGUGACAGAUGCUAAUGCGACUUACUGUUGUGAUCACUUCCCAAUACAUGCAAAUAUCAAAUCAUUAUGUUGUACACCUGAAAUUAAUAUAAUGUCUGUCAAUUAUACCUCAAAAAAAAAAACCAGAACCAAAUCUGAAUUUAAAUCAAUCAGCAUGUUUCUCACCUUUUUCUUAGUUCUGAUUUUCUGUUACAUGCUUUUUCAUUUUAUGUAUUUUUGCUGUAGAGUUGCCUCAGACUCUCUCUGAAGAAAGGCAAGCUAUCAAUAAAAGAAACACCCUUUAAGAAAUCCCACCAAAUCUACGUAAAAAACACGAAAUAGAAGAAUCAUUUGGAAUAAAUGUAAACACUGACACAGCAGCCUUGGGAUCAGGUGUGAAGACAAAUGGCUCCAUUACUAACUUUAAUAGGAAAGGCUACACAGAAGGGAUACAAACACAGGGCAGGCUACGUCCGGGUUCUCAACUCCUUUUUGGCCACAAAAAAACCAAAUGCCUAAGGCAUAUGACAGUUAACAGGAGCAGGUCAGAAUCUGGGGGUAGGAAGUAUAUUGUUGAGAAAAAAUUCCCCCACAUGAUUCUGCUACACUUUCCCCACAUCCCACCACUAAAGCCCCCAAUCCCUGCCCCAGUUGAGAUCACUGGGUUGAAUUUAUUCUUUUAAAUUGUUCAACACUUAACAAAUAGUUUAUUGAGCACCUACUCUAUAACUGUCAUGAAGCGAGUAUUUUUGUACUUCUGCACAGUUAGAGAUUUCUGCGAAAAUUUACUGGGACCUGGGUUAAAGGACAAGCCUUAAAACUUAAAAAAUGACUAAAUAGAUAGUAAAAGAUUGAUCUUCCCUGAGGUAUGUGUUCACAUUUCAGAAGGAUGAUGAAACCAGGGUCAUGGAGACAUUCCAGAGUUACAAACUCAGAGCCUCUUGUCUUAGGUUACUGACGUAAGUAAUAAUCUAUCCCUGCCUCAGGAACCCUGUGUCUACUUUCAGGGUAAUAUGAACAAAUAUAGAUAUUAAAAACUUAUCAGUCACCAGGCACCAGGCUAGUUCCUAAGAGCACAACUGUGAGUAAGAGAAAGUUCCUGCUCUCUCAGAGCUUGUGGUCAAUUGUGGUACCAACAGUGAUCCAUCACAGCACAGUAUAGCAAGUCCAUGACAGGAGACGUACAUGGAGCUGUGAGAGACUGGAGAAUCUAAACUGAGACUGAAGCGGGAGGAGUUAGCCAAAUACCUCUGUCUGCAAAUCAAAGAAAAUCCCCAAACAGAGAUUCUGUUAGAAAAGAAGAGAGUGGUGAAAGGUCGCAGGGAAAGCAGCCAGUAGGAUGUGCUACAGUCAUUAAGGUAAUAUUUCCCUUUUUAGAAUAUUAUAUUUAGCACUAACAGGAAAGACAGAGAAAUAAAAGACCACCUUAUUCUUUUGUUUUUUUACAUUUUGCAUAGUUUUAAUAUAUAUUCAAAAACCAUGAAAACAAAAUAGUUUUGUUCAGAGACUUACAACAAUCCUUCACGUUAUAGACAGCAAGCCUCUCCCUGGUAUCAUUCUGAAUUCCCAGCUGUCCCCUUCAGAAUAAUUCUCUCUCUAAUUGUAAGCAUCUUACAACAUCAGUUAUGCAUUGUAACACGUCAUUUAAAAUUAAUUAUUUAUUUAAAAUUAUUUCUCCUUAGGUUAGAGUUAAGGCAUUAUAUAGGUUAUUUUUGGAUACAGUUCUUUUAUCAGAUAAAUAUAUUGCAAAUAUUUUCUCCUAGUUCAUGGCUUAUCUUUUAAUUCUCUUAACAGCUUUUUGAAGAACAGAUGAUUUUAAUCCUGACCAAAAUAUAAAUUAGGCUUAAUAUUCAGUGUUUUUGGUAUUCUGCAAAAAGUGUGCCUAUUCAAAGCCCACAAGGAUGUUCUCCUGUUUCCUUCUAGAAUUUUUAUGAUUUUGCCCUUAUGUUUAGGUCUAUGGUAUAUUUUAAUUAAAUUUUAUGUCUGGCAUGGGGGAGGAGGAUUUUUGUUUGUUUAUUAAUUUUUGGUAUAGGAUGUCUACUUGUUCCAGGAGCAUUUAUUAAAAAUAUA
Aethalodelphis obliquidens (Pacific white-sided dolphin) is the source of this 2349-nucleotide long non-coding RNA. RefSeq lists it as uncharacterized. NCBI's taxonomy places the organism in Eukaryota, Metazoa, Chordata, Mammalia, Artiodactyla, Delphinidae. The transcript has 3 exons. The record is from RefSeq and is a predicted model, not a curated record.